This 22668-nucleotide long non-coding RNA is filed under the name Homo sapiens (human). RNAcentral describes it as "HSALNT0183501". Lineage: Eukaryota; Metazoa; Chordata; Mammalia; Primates; Hominidae. The record is from RNAcentral.
GGGGACCAGAACCCGCUGGCUCUAGAAAGUGCCCCUCGCCCAUCCCUGCCCAUGGGUUGCAUCAGCAGCGUGUCUUCUUUGUUCUCUCCCUGAAGGGUAGGAUGCUCAUGACCUUGGCCUUGCAGUUUGGGUGGGUGCACCUCCUGUCCUGGUGCUGACAUCUGGAUGAUUUAUGAACAUCAUUACCCUUUCACUGGACUCUUACUCUUCGGAGUCUUCAGAGCUGCCUGGGCCUAGCGCCCAAGAAGUUUGCUCCUUGCAUCAAUGGCGAUGCUAGACAUAUUCUACUGGCUGUGGCCCAAAGGCUGGAGGUGGAACUGUAAGAGCAGAGAGGAGGAGAAGGCUCACCAUGAAGACAAAAGAAGUCCUGAGCCUUGGAUUUUCUUCCUCUAGGGCUUUGUGGACCCACAGAUUGGUAGAAGUUCUGUGAGGGCUGACUUCUCCCCAUCUGUCCCAGAUGGAUCCCUUAAGGCUCAGGACACCUCAGAGGACUGGUGCAUGGGCUGCAGCCAGCCUGACCCAGCUCUAUAAAGAAGCUCACCCUUUACAGAUGCCCCAGAGAGGCCCCCAUCCUGCCCUGCAGCCAGCUUCCUGGGCAAGUGGGAUCAGUAGGCACUCGGGGUCUCCCUCCUCCAGGGUUUCCUGAAACAGGAUGCAUUCAGCCCUUGUAGAGUUGCUGGGGAAGUGGAAGGAAAACAGAGGUGACUCUUGAAGCCCCAGGAGCUGACCUUAGAUCUUGACACUCCUGGUGUGUGCAAAGGUCUGAGGAGACGGCCAGAUUGAGGUAAAGCAGUAAAAAUCCGUGCUUGUCAGGAAAGUAGCAAGAGCCGAGUUCUACACUAACCAUUGGCUGGCCUGGGGCAGCCUGCAGCUGCACAACUGCCUCGUACAAUGGCAUGGACAAGCAGUGUCGGUGACGUAGCAGGCCGCUGGGGACCUGGGAGACAUCCUGCUGCUGCAGGAGUCCUGUGCAGAGCAGAGGAGAGAGCAGUUUGGCAAGUGCAGGGGUCCCACUCUUCUUUUGGUUGGUGGCAGGGAGCAGGUGGGGCCUAACCUGGGUGGACAGUGUCUACCUCCCUUCUGUGCAUUUUGCAUUGGCCUUAAUUGGUUCUCCCGGGAUAGUCACGAAAGCCCGACCUUUGUUCCAGGUAAAGUGCUGCAUGUUUCAUGUGUACAGCUCAUUUAAUCUUCACAGGACCUUAUGAAGUAGUUAUUAUAUCUAUUAUCAUCACAGAAAAGAACACUGAGCCUCAGAGAGGUCAAGCAAUUGGCCCAAGAUCACACAGCCUGCAAGAAACAGAGAUGGGACUCAGACCCUGGUCUAUUUGGCUCCCAUGUGCCUUACUACUAUGUUAUACCCACCCCUCCAGUCUCCUUCUAGGUCACCAGCUGGGAUGGGAGGCCAACUCUCCAAAUCAGAAGAGUUUUUCUGGGUCAGGAAUUUGAGCAGGACUUGCCUACGUGAUUUUGGCUUGAGGACUCUCACAUGGUGGUAAUAGAUGGAAGUUGAAACUGGAGCAGAGGAGCAGAAGUGGCUGGAGUGGCAGGAACUGGCCAGGCAUCUCUUCCUCUCUGGAUAUAUAGACACUGGGCCUCUUCAUCGGGUCUUUCUGCAGGGCUGGUUGUGCUUCCUCACUGCAUGGUGGCUCAGGGCAGUCAGACCACCUGCGUGGUGGCUCAGCACUCCAGCACAGUGUCCCAUCACUCAAGGUAGAAGCUGCAUUGUCCUCUAGGGCUUAGCCUCUGAAGCCAUGCAGCGUCACUUCCUGAGCUUCCUUGUAACCACUUCCUGUUGGUUAUAAGUGAGGCACAAGCCCAUCCAAAUUCAAAGGAAGAAGAGUUAGACUCCAUCACUUAAUAGGAACGUGGCAAGAUUCUAGAAGAGCAAAUGGGAUAAGAAUUAUUGUUGCAUUCAUCUUAGAAAAAUACAAUCCGCUACAAAGCCCCCUCAUGGAGCACCCAGAUCUGAGAAGGGGGUGCUUUCCACUAAAGUCUCUGCCUCCAUUUUCCACUUCCUCUGCUUCCUUCUCCUUCUUGUGUUCUCCAUGAGCAUUAAACCAAAAUAAACAGUUCUGAGUACCCCUUUUAAUCAAGAUGUGUGAAAAAAUGUGGAAGCUCAUCCUUGGAAGAAUAAUAAUAGAAACUAGCUUUAUUUAUCCUGGGUAAGAGACGUAAGAGGAGAUGAUGGGAUCACUAUCCCAGCACAUGUGAAAGACGGGAACAGGCUUGUCCUGGGCUGCUCCAGAGGGUGGGUGGUACAGGAUUUUUCACAGUCCUGGAGAAACUCAGAGGCUUCCUUGGCUGACCACUUUUUUUUUUCUCUUUUUCAGCUUUAUUGAAAAACAAAUGACAAAUAAAAGUUGUAUAUAUUCAAGGUAUACAAUGUGAUGCUUUGAUACAUUGUGAAAUGAUGACCUCAGUCAAGCUAAUUAAGAUAUCCAUCACUUCCUGGAGGUACCUUUGUGUCUAUAUGUGGUGAGAAUACUUACAACCUACUCUCUGAAAAUUUGAAACAUACAACCCAUUGUUAUUAACUACAGUCACCUGAUGGAUAAGAGAGCUCUUGGCUAGUAUAAAUAGAGCAAGUAUUUUCCAUAAAAAUAUGGAAAAUAAGCAAGUGUUUUCCAUAAAUAGAGCAAGUAUUUUCCAUAAAAUAUCACUAAAAAUAUGCAGGAAAGGCCUGAAUUAGUUCAUAUGGCAGAUAUUGGUAUAAUCUUUUGGUUUUCAGGAUUUUUUGAAGUCUAAAGUGGGCAUGCUUACAAUAAAUUAAUUUAAAAGUGGUAUCAGUUUUAUAUGUUCUGCAUACAAUUUUCUUUUUAAGAGUACCCUGUGGGUUAAAAUAUAUUUACAGAGCAACCUCUCCUAACAAAAGAAAAUUUCAGACCAUUAGGCUUGGUCAGAUAAAUGAAUGUUAGAGGGGCAAAAUCAGGUGUAGCAAAGAUUAGUCCAUUGCAGAAAGAAACUAGGACUGUGCCUCUCCAAAUAGGAGAGUACCAAAGAGGGUACACCCCUGUACCCCAGGGGUGUCUAGUAGUGUGCCUUUGGGUCCUAGAAGAUGUAGAAUAAGUAUGGUACAUCAUCACAACAAGUAAUUUAGGACUGUUUUGCAAUAAAACAAUCAAUAUUUAUUAUGCAGUUGAUGCAAUACUCACAUAUAUUUUAAAUUAGAUGCUCUAUGAGAAUUUUCCAGUUGCUAAUAGCUAGGCAGGUGACCCUCCUACAUUCCCCUAGGAUACUGUGUAGACAAGUUUGUAUUGACAAAAAUAAGAAUGUAGACUGAAGAGCAAAACUGUUGGGUUCAAAUCCUGGCUCUGUGACUUACUAGUUAUAUAACCCUGGGCAACUUAACCUGUUCAUGCCUUAGUUUCCUCAUCUCUGAAAUGGAGAUAUUAAUAAUAAUAAUAUUCACCUCAUGGGGUGAUUGAAAGAACAAAAUGAGUUAAUUUUAGUGUUUAAAGGAGUGCCUUGCGUGUGGCAAGUACCAUGCAGAUGCUCAUUAAAUAAAAGCUUGAGAACUAUGAAUGAGCCUCUCCGAGAAGGUCAAGAAUGGGCACAUAGUCUGGGUGAUCAUGAGCAGAGGCUGGAAGUGAUGCAUUCUGUUGAAGGAAUUGUUCAUGGGGUGGCCACUCCUUCAAAAGGAAUUAUAAAAAUCUAAGACUUGAAGCUGAGAUCCCCCACCUGCUGGGUGGUGUUUGAUGGUCUAAACUGGGGGUUUGCAAACUCUUUCAGCAAAGGGCCAAGUAGUAUAUCCUUUAGAAUUGUGGGUCAUCCAGUCUUUGUCACAUUUGUUCAACUCUGCCAUUGUAGUGUGAAAGUAGCCAUGGAUGAUAUAUACCUGAAUUAAAUGGACUGUUGUGCUGGGCUGGGGCCACAGUCCAUAGUUUGCUGCUGCUUGUCUAGAUCCUGCGGGGCCUGAGCAAGUGAGCUGGAAAUAAGGUGGCUGUUGAGGGGGCUGAGGAGCAACAGGAAGUGAGAAGGGAAGGGAGAUGGGUGCAGCACCACUACAAUGCCACUUCCUUCCUGGGGUGAACUCACUUAGACUUUGAAUAGGUUCUCUGCAGAGAUGACUGAGACACUUGGAGCCAUGCGCCUGCAGAGACACAGUGGGGGACCAUGUUAGAAAUGGGAGUAACAAGUCAUUCAUUCUUACUAUAUGUUUCGUUAUUGCAUGGCAAAGGCUUUGAAAAGAAAGCUGAGUCUUUUAUUUUCCUGUGAAUCAGCUCCGAGCCCCUGGAACAAUGUUGUUCAUUCUGCGGAUGCUCAGCAAGCCCUUGCUGACUGUCUUUAUUUCUUCACCUGCAAUAAGAUCCCCCCAGGCCCAUAUGGAAACGUAAAUGUUCUUGAGGGACUAAUUCAGUGAGACUCUUCCAGGGGAAGUUCAGUCCUCCUGGGAAGUGAUUACACACUGAUGGAAUUUUUGCACACUGGAUGGAAAGAUGAUCUUUGCCUCUUGGCUGUGUCACAGUAAUAAGUGGGAGACUGAUUAUUUCUAAGAGUGCAGCUCUUCCCGGCACUGAUAAGAAUGGAAUGCAGCGCUACCAUGGAGAUUCGGGUCACUAAUUAGUCCCAGAAGCCUCUAGGCCUUGAAUCACUGUUAUAUUAAUUAUGCAUCAAAUUAGAAUGUUUGCAAAGGCUCAGAGCCAACUGUACUGCAGAACCCGGUGACAGCAUGGAGAGAUCAAGGAGUGUCCCGCCCAGCACACUGCAGGGACCAGCAGACAAAUCCACGCGGCCUGCCUGAGCGUGCAGUGACCCCGCCUGAUCUCUGAUACAGCUGUUCGCAACUCCUGCCAGAGAGCUUGUUAUCGGCACAGGGUGGACAAAAGAAGGAAAGGAAGAGAACGAUGGCUUCCCCUCAGUUCCAUAAUCUAAGCUCUACUGCGGUAAUAUCCAGCUGAGAAAAGACACAGGACAAUCAUUUGGGCACUUUAUUUCCAUGGUAACAAAUAGAAGAUUCUUCCAGAUGUUUGCUAACAUCGUGGAGGUAACAUGUCUGGACCGUUGUCUGAUAUUCAGUUUUUAUAGCUGGGGAGACAUGGCUUUAGCUUUGGGUAAACUAUUCUAUCUCUUCCUCCUCUUCCUCUGCCUCCUUCUCCUUCUUGUGUUCUCCAUGAGCAUAAAACCAAAAUAUACUUGAUGCUUUGUUGUAAAAUAAACAGAUGAUAAAUAGCAGUCUCUGUGACUGUUGGGUUAUAAUUCCAUCGAGGGCUGGGGUUGAAGUCAUAAACCACAAGAAGUGAAGCAUGACCCACAAAUAGCCUUCAGGAUGGAAUUACAGCCCCAUAAUUCAGAGUAGCCCUUUGAAAAAAUAAUUCCUAAACCUAGCUAUAAUUUGGGGAAAGAGCCACGACAGUGGUGACGUCUUCUCUAAUCAGUUCAUCAGUAGACAAAUUACUCCCCUUCGUUAUUCUGAUGAUAUUUAUUAACGUUGGGGUGAGCACCCAAUCUGUUUUCUAGGAGGUUACUGUUGAAACCAGGUAGCAGUCGCCCAAACAGAACCAAAGAAAGGGAAACUGGAGUCUCACAGUAAGAAAGUUCUCACCACAGAUGAAGGUCAAUGAGCAUGAGGUGAGAAGAGACAUUCAUUACUUUGGAACUGAUGAGAAAUAUUGAUUCCUGACCACAGGAGUAGUGGCCGAGUUUGUUUUGCGUGGAGUGUGGCAUAAAUUCCGUCCCUGUUCUGCAUCUUACUACUUCUCUAAAUGUCUUUGCUAUUUUCAAAACUGAUUCUGCUUGAUCUCAUAAUUCAUUAAAGCAAGUUGAUCUCAUGCACCCCAAGAGUUAUGAGAAGCUUUUUCAUGAUGGUUCUUGCAUGAUGAAAAUAAAUUCUCAUUUAUUACAGAGAAAAUAAACCGAACCCAACAAUUCUGUAGAAGGUGAAUGUUUAAAUGGCAGUUUCUUGUGAUCAUAAAUUAAACCAUCAAAAUCCCAUAAGGUUUCUCUGCAGCCUAGAUAUUAAAUAAAACAACAAACAUGCAAGGACUGGCAAGUGGUAAGGGCUUAAUACAUGGUCAUUCACUACCAUAAUUUGUACCAUAAAAUUCAGAAAUUCUUUACAUGCUUUGUGUGUUAUUAUCUACUUUGUCAAUGACGCUGAAGACAUGAGGAGAACAAGGGUCUCAUCUGACGCAUUAUGCCUUUCCACAUAGACAAUGUAGAAUAUUAUUUAAAACAGAGUCUACAGCAUGAAGAAAAUAGAAGCAACAGAAAACAACAAGCUAAUAUAUAAACUAUUAAGGCAAAAUGGACAAAGAAUAUGAUCAUUUAAAAGUCGAGCUUAUUGAGGUAUAAUUUGCAGAUAUGCUUUGUGUUUAAUUUGCUCCUUCUUUCCUAGUUUAAGGUGGAAACUUAGAUCAUUGAUUUGAGAUAUGUCUUCUCUUUCAAACACAAAUAUAUAAAAGUGUGAAUUUUACUCUAAGUACUGUUUUGGCAACAACACACACAUUUUGAUAUGUUAGGUUUUUAUUUUUGCUUUGGUUCAAACUAUUUUCUAAUUUUUCUUGUGAUUAAGUUUGAGAAUUUAACAAUAGAAAACAGAAAACAAAUACUUCGUUAUUGAUUUCUAUUUUAAUUUUGUUAUGAUCAGAAAACAUGCUUUGUAUGAUUUAAAGUCCUUUAAAUUUAUUGAGCCUUAUUUUUUGACCCAGAUAUGAUCUUUCUUUGUGAAUGUUGUGUCUGCAUUUGAAAAGAAUUUGUGUUCUGCUAUUGCUGGAUGGAGUAUUCCAUAGCUGUCAGUUAAGACAGUGGUUAGUGGUUCCAUUUAUCUUCUAUGUUUUUCUGUAUGCUUGUAUAUCUGAGAAAAGGAUGCUGAAAUUUCUAACUAUCACUGUGAAUUUGUCUGUUUCUCCUUUUGGUUCUGUCAUUUUUUAUUUUAUUUGUUUUGACAUUGUUAGGUAUUAUUAGGUGCAUGUACAUUUGGAACUGUUAUGCACUCAUGAUGAACUGAGUUCUUUCUUGUUAUAAAAUGUCUCCCUUUAGCCUACAUAAUAAUAUGUGUUCUGAGGCCUACUUUGUGUGAUAUGAAUUACAGCCAUUCCAGAUUUCUUUUGAUUAGCUUCUGCAUGGUACUUUUUUCAUCCUCUUCGUUUUAUCUAUAUAUUUAUACAUAUUGUAUAUUUCUUGUAGACAAAAAUAGGUAUGUCUUGCUUUUUAAAACCCAAUAUGACAAUCUGCUUUUUUAAUUAGAAUGUGAAGAAUUUUCUCUAAUAUUUCUUAUAAUAUAGGUCUGUAGUUUAUGGAUCCUAUCAGCUUUUAUUUGUAUAAAAAUAUUUUCUCUAUUUCUAAUUCACUCUCUAUUUUGCCUUCAUUUUUAAGAGAUAUAUUUCCUGGGAAUCCUAUGAUGACGGUUCUUUCUGUCAGCACUUUUAAGAUAUUCAUCCAUUUUCUUUUGGUCGGCAUAUUUUCUCAUAAGAAGUCUGCUGUCAUGCUUGUCUUUAUUACUCUGUAAGUAGUAUGUCUUUUAUCUCUGGCUGCUUUUAAGAUUUGUUUAUCUCUGAUUUUUAACAAUGGGAUCAUGAUGCGUUUUAGCAUAUACGUCUUUAUAUGUAUUCUGCUUGGGUUUCAUGGAGCUUUGUUGACAUAGUUUUCAUUAAAUAUAGAUAAACUUCUAGCUAUUAUUAUUUCUUCAUCUAUCUUCCCUCUUCCUUUCUGGGACUCUAAUUUCACAUGGUAGACAGCCUUGAUAUUGUUCCAUAGAUACUAGAUAUUAUUUUUGUUUUCGUCCAUCUUUUUUGUUUCUCUGUACUUAAUUUUGGAUAUUUUCUAUUGGCAUGUCUUUGAGUUCACUGAUCUCUUCUUCUGCAGUUCCAAAUUGGCCACAAAACUGUCCAGUAUAUUUUUUGUUUCAGAUCACAUAAUUUUCACCUCUAUCAGUUCCAUUGUGGUACCUCUCUCUCUUCUUUAAAAUAUAUUCCUUUCUGCUCCUCAUAGUGUUGUUUUUCCCUCCUUCUUGAGCAUAUUAAGCGUGUUUAUGAUAGUUAUGAUAGCUGUUUUAAAAUUUGUUUCUAAUUUCUGAAUUUCUGUCAUUUCUGUUUCACUUCAACUUAUUGGCCUUUUCUAGGUAUGGGCCAUAUAUUUCUGCAUUUUUGCAUACCUGAUAAGUUUUUAUUUGAUGUCAUAUAUUGUGAGAUUUUACAUUGUUGUGUGUGGAUUGUGUUAUAUUCCUUUUGAUAGUGUUGGACUUUGUCCUGGCAUCCAGUCAGAACAGUGAUUGCCUCUGGGAAGUGGUGAGAUUGAUGUUCAAGGUAAUUGAAUGGCUCUGUAUCUAGAUCUGGGUAUUGGUUACAUGGCUGUGUGCUUGCUACAAAACUCAUCCAUAUAUAUACACUUACAACAUGUGCAUUUUACUCUAAGUAAAUUACACUCAAAAAUAUUAUAAAAUGUUAUAUAUGACCAUUUAAAAAAUUUGAAAUAAUACAAUUAUAUAAAGAAUAACAACUAAAAGUCCUAUCUUCCUCCAUCUCAAUUGCACUGCCUCUUCAUUAUUCCUUCUUUCCCAAAAUCUUACCAUUCAUAAACCAGUUAAAUCCUUUUCUAUAUCACCUUCAAAAUCUUUAUCUAUGGAUUUACACCUGUAGCAUCAUGGUUAAGACCACAGGCUCUAGAAACAAGACUGCUUGGGACAGAAUCAUGGCUCUACUACUUAGUAGAUUCAUUUUGCCUAGUUUUGAACAUCAUACAAAUAGACAGAAAAAGUAGGCAUUUCUGUAUUUGACUUCCUUCCCUCAAUGUCAUAUUUUUGAGGUUCAUUGAUGUUGCUUAUGUCAAUAGUUUAUUCCUUUUUCUUGUACCCAGUUAUAUAUAUCAUUUUAUAAAUAUAACACCAUUUUCUUUUCUGUUCUCUGACUGAUAGACAUUUGGGUUGUAUCCAGUUUGGGCUAUCAUGAUAAAAGCUGCUGGGAAUAUUCUUGUACAAGUUUUUGGUGGAUACGUGUUUUUAUUUAUCUAGAGUAAAUAUUUAGGAGUGAACUUGCUGGGUCAUAGGGUAUGUUUAAAUCUAUUUAAAAAAACCUAACUAUUUUUAUUUAACAUUGCUUUCAGUAAAGUAUGAGAGUUCCAGUUCUUCUACAUCCUAACCAGCACUUGACAUGGGUCAGUCUUUUACAUUUUAGCCAUCUAAUAGGUGUGUUUUGAUAUCUUUUGUGACUUUAAUUUUCGUUUCCCUGAUUACUAAUGAUGUUAAUAUUUUCAUGUGCUUAUUUACCAUUUGUAUAUCUUCCUUUGUUAAGUAUUUGUCCAAGUCCUUUGCCUAUUGUUCUGUUAAAUAGUGCAGUGUAACACAGAUAAACCCAUAACUUAUUGGCUUAAAGAUUAGUUUUAAAUUUUGUUUAUCAAUCUUCCAUUUGGGCAGGAUUCAGUUUGGACAGCUGAUUUCUGCUCCAUGUGGCAUCAGUUGGAGGAGCUCGACUGGGGCUGGGUGUUCUCCCAUAUGGCUUACGUACAUGCCUGGCAAGUUGAUGCUGUCAGCAGGAAACUUCGCUAAGGCUGUUAGCCAGAUGCCUUUGUUCCUCUUCACUUGAGUCUGUCCAUUUGAUUGCUUGGACUUCCUCAAGCGUGGGGGCUGUGUUCUAAGGAUGUGUGUUUUAAGAGAACAGAAGUGAAUGCUGUCAAUCUCAUAAGGUCUUGACUUGGGCACUGGGUUAGUAGCUUCACUUCCAUCAUACUCUGUUGGUCAAAGCAGUGCAGAAUUCACUCAGAUUCAUAGGGAGAGGACAUAGACUGUUUCUUCGUGGGGGGAAUGAGACAACAAUUAAUCCACCAUAGUCCAUCCUCUGAUUGGACUGCAUGGUUGGAAUGAAUGAUUUGCAUCAAUCCCAUGUAAAAAAUAGAAUCAGUUCCUCCUAAGACCUAUGAAAAUUUUACACCUUGUCUCUAGCUUUCAUCCUCCAAUCAAACUUGAAGCUCUUAGGAAAAAGCCAGUUAAGUAUGGAUCUCAUCCCUUAAAUUUUCUUAUUAUUAAGGUAAUAUCAGCUCCAUUUCUGUUUGCUUCCAGUACUCUUCAGUGUUUUCAAACAAUUGAUUUUUAUAUUUUGUACAUAGUUUAUAAUUGCUUUUGGCAAGAUUAGCAUAAUAAAAGCUUCUCCUCCUACUGUUGAAAACAGAGUCUCUUUGUAUAACAUACAAAAUACAUUUUUAAAAUAUUUAUAAUGAGGCAGGGCACAGUAGCUCAUGCCUAUAAUCCCAGCACUUGAGAGGCUGAGGCAGGAAGAUCCCUUGAGGCCUGGAGUUCGAGACCAGCUUGGGCAACAUGGUGAGACCCUCAUUUCUACAAAAACAAACAAACAAACAAACAAACAAACAAACAAAAUUAAAAAAAAAAUUAGCCAGGUGUAGUGGUGUGUGGCUAUAGCCCCAGCUACUCAGGAAGCUGAUGGGCUCACUUAAGCCCAGUAGUUUUAGGCUGCUGGGAGUUUUAGGCUGAUGGGAGGAUCACUUAAGCCCAGUAGUUUUAGGCUGCAGUGAGCUAUGACCACACCACUUCCCACCAGCUUGGGCAACAGAGCAAGGCCCUGUCUCUAAAAAUAUAUAUAUUUAAAAUGAGGAAAAGUAAAAGUAACCCUAAACAAUAGUAUAUAAAAUGCAAACACCUAGUAAAAACAACAAAAAAAAAUUCACAUGGGAAAUGAUUUCUAGUCUUGAACAAUUUACUGAUUAUUUGACAUCAAAGAACAGCAUUGAAUGUAACAUAAGCAGGUUGCUUUAUAUGUUUGGGCUCAGAUAUUUAUCUGAAGGACAAGAGGUUUAGAUCAGACAAUGUAAAUAAUCCUUUAGAUGUUUGAGGCCUACGAUUCGAAUAACCUUAUAAUUAAAUGUAGCAUUUGAUUUCCAUUUUGGUGAAUGUAAAGAAAGCUUAAGAAUUUACAAUUUAUAUGGUCAGUAUGACAUCAGAAUACAGAAAAAAGAAAUUACCUCAAACCGUACAAUUAUCUUUUCAGAUGGAGCUUACAGUUCCUUUCUUCUCUAACAGGGUUCACAAGCUCAAGAAGUACCUGAAAUUGGGCUAGGAAAUAGUCACAGAGUAAACAUGGCUUGUUUUCUGAGGGUAUCAAUUUUACCUUAUAAUUUUGAGUAAAAUCACAUUCAUAAAUCAUAUUGCAUAAAAAUAAACUUAGAUAACUUAUGGUAUAAAAUACAAAUAUUAUAUAAAUAUUUAAAGCUUAAAAUAGAAAAAAAGUCUAUUUGGAGAGAAACCUUAGGGCAACUAUUUCAGUUGCUGGAGGAGAAAGACUUUGUCUCUUCUGGUAUUGUAAUAGAAAAGUUUGAGAAAUGCUAUAAAUUCACUGGGCGUUGGGCAAGAAGUCUAAAAUCCUGCUCUUUAUUUAAGAUCUGCAACCAUCAUUGGAUCUAUGCCAUAAAUAUGUUUUAUUUACCCAGACAUCUGCACUAUUUAUUUAGCUUUAGUCACUGAACGAACAGUUUUCAUUCUGUAUGAGGUGCUACCCUCAAAACUAUUUGUCUGUUUCUCAGUACGUUUUUGGUUGAUGGAGUUUGGAUGAAAUAUCUGUUUCUCUGACCCUCCACUUAAGGCAAAACAUAGCAGCCUGCCCUUCCUUUCCAGGUGCAGACAGAACUGAGAUUAGCAUGAACCAUUCCUUCCAGUUGACUACCAAGGGGUAAACUAUGAAGAGUUUUGCAUUGUGAUUUAGGGGUCUCAAUUGUUCUCCCUUCCACCAUGGGCUGUGAUAGUGCCUAAAGCACCAGUCCUCUGAGGUAGGACAGAGUGAUCUUGAUAGGCCAAUACUAUGAAAGAUGAGAGGGAAAUCCUCUCUCAAGCCAUUUGUCAUUUCUAAACACCUUGAUUCAAGCUAGUUGGCCAUAAUUUAAAAAUAAGCCCUUAAAUUAUUUAACACUCUUCCUAUUUAAAGUCAGACUCUAAUUCCUCUUCCCCUGAAUAUAGUCCAGCCAGUGACUUGCUUUACAAGAAUACACUUAGGCUGAACUGAUGCUGUGUGAUUUUUUUUUUUUUAAACUAGGGUAGGGAAGACAACUCAAUUCUGCCCAGAGAGCUCUUUUUCACUCAACUGAAUACGCACUGGGAGCCAUAAGCCAACAUGUAAGGAAUUCAGCUACUCAGAAGCUAUCAUGCUGGAAAGACCAUGUAGAAAACUUACAGACAUAGAAAAAGUUCCUUGAGGGCUCCAGCCCCCAGCUAUUUGAGAAUUCCAGGUCCAUGCCUCAGGCCUAUAAGCCAGGAGCUUUCAGAUGAUUCCAGUCUUCAAGCCAUCCCAGCUCCUGGUAAAUCGAGCAGAGAUGAGCCAUCCCCGCUAAGCCCUGCCCAAAUGGCAGAUUCAUGAGCAAAACAAAUGCUCUUGUUGUUUUAAGCCACUGAGUUUUGAGGUGGUUUGUUGGUUUGUUAGGUAGUAAUAGAAAAAUGGAUUCUUUCCUAUUACCUAGUCAAAUUCUGAGGAAAUGGGACAUAAGUAAAUCAUAUUUGUUUUCAUAUACAUUUCCUGUUUUAAAAUUGGGUUGUUUGUAGAUAAAAAGAGAAAGGCAAGGAGAGUUCAGAAUCACAAUGCACUAAAAGAAAGAGUUCAGAGAGGUGGGAAAUGAAAUACUUUCACAGAUAUCUCCAAUAAAUAUGCAUGUGCACAGAACCUUGAAAGUUUUAAAUUGGCAGGGAUCUUAGGAAUCAUAAAACUGAACCUACUUUUCAAAAGUAAAGUUCAAGGAAUUAACUCAUUUGGGCAGGAUUCCAGAGCCAGAAUAGAGCCCAAGAUUCCAAACCUAGCCACUGACUGCAGUACCUCUUUUCUCGAGGCAUGUAUAAUAAACUCCACCAAUUUAGCCAAAUAAUAAGGGCAAGAUCAAAUAAACAAAAAAGCAAUAGCAACAACAGCAACAAUUCUGCAUAACCUAACUGGCUAUUUCUAAAAGUAGUUGUCUUUGCUCUGCCUGUCCCUGUCUAUUGUCUCCUUGUGGAAUAAGUGUGUCCACCCCUGGGUCCUUGACAUUAAAGGGUUUGGGAAACUGCUACAGAAUUCGCAGUUCUAGUUCUCCAGGCAAGGGAGUUAAUGGAUCUCAGACAUGCUUAUGUUAUUUCACUACACACAGCAGUGUAUUUGUGGAGUGCUUACCAUGUGAUAGCAGCUGUACUAAGUACUUUAUGUACAUUAUUUCAUUUUAUCCUGCUUUGAAUUUUUUAUAAAUCAAGUUUAUUGUGGUAUAAUUUUUAUAUACUAAAAAGCACCCAUAUGAUAGUUUAAAGAGUUUAGACAAAUAUAUAGACCGUGUGACACCUAGCAUAAUCAACACACAGAAAAUUUUCAUUCCCCCACCCCCAAAAAGUUUCUUUAUGCUUCUUUGCAGAUAAUCCUCCUCCUGCUGUGCCCAGGCAACCCAAAGUCCUUUCCAUCACUAUCGAUUUUAUGCCUAUUCCCAAAUUUCAUAUAAAUAGAAUCCCACAUUAUGUAUUCUUUUGUGUCUGGAUUCUUUUGCUUGGCAUAAUGUUUUUCAGGUUCACCCGUAUAAUUGUGUGGACCAGGAGUUUGCAACUUUUUAUUGUUGAGUUUUAUUCCAUUGUAUAGAUAUACCACAAUCGGUUUAUCCAUUCUCCAAUUUAUGGAUUUUUUUUUCCAGUUUGGGGCUAUUAUGAUUAAAGCUGCUAUGAACAUUCUUGUAUAAGUCUGGGUAGAAAUAUUUUAUUUAUUUAUUUAUUUUUUGAGACAGAGUCUCACUCUGUUGCCCAGGCUGGAGUGCAGUGGUGCUAUAUUGGCUCACUGCAAGCUUUGCCUCCUGGGUUCACGCCAUUCUCCUGCCUCAGCCUCCCGAGUAGCUGGGACUACAGGCGCCUGCCACCACGCCCAGCUAAUUUUUUUUUUGUAUUUUUAGUAGAGACGGGGUUUCACCGUGUUAGCCAGGAUGGUCUCGAUCUCCUGACCUCGUGAUCCGCCCACCUUGGCCUCCCAAACUGCUGGGAUUACAGGCAUGAGCCACCACACCCAGCUGAAAUAUGCUUUUAUUUAAUUAUCUUAGGUCGAUGCCUAAGGGCGGGCCAUAUGGUAAGUGUAUAUUUAACUUUGUGAGACACUGCCAAACUGUUUUCCAAUAUGGUUGAAUCAUUUAUGUUUCUAUCUGCCAUAUGUAAGAGUUCCAGUUUCUCCACAGAUUUGCCACCCUACUAUGUGUGUAGUGGUAUCUCACUAAGGUAUCAAUUUGCAUUUUUCUGAUGUCUAAUGGUGUUGAGUACUGUGUCUUUAUUUGCUAUUUAUAUACCUUUUUUGAUGAAGUAUCUUUUCAAAUACAUUCCCCAUUUUAAAACGGGGCUAUUUGUUUCCUUAUUAUUGAAUUGUAGGUGUUCUUCCUGUAUAUAUUCUGGAUACAAGUCCUUUGUUAGAGAUAUGUACUGUCAAUUAUAGAUGCUGUACUGUAAAAGUCUGUCACUUGCCUUUUCACUUUCUUGACAGCAUCUUUCAAAGAGCAGGAAUAUUAAAUUUUGAUAAAACCUAAUCAGUUUUCUUUCCUUUAUGGAUCAUGCUUUUGAUGCCCUAUUAUGUUAAAGUUUUAAAGUUGGACUGUUGAGAGGGAAAAGGAGCCAAUCUGAAAAGAUAAUCCAAGGCAUGACUAAGAAAGCAUUAGUUCUGAAUUCUGGGAUUACAUCAGAAUCAGCAGGUGAUUUAAAAACACCUGUCUAGGACCUAGCCCCAGAAAUUCCAAUUUAGACUGAUCUAUGGUGUAGCCUAAUUGUGAAUAGUCUUUAGAGGCUCUUUUGGUGAUCCUAAUGUGCAGCUAUGGAUGAGAAUUAUCAAAAAAGAGGUAAAGUGUGUGCAAAAUAUGUGAAAUUUAUUUCAGCAUAUAUAAGGCUUUCAUUAAUGGGGUAUUUUGUAUAAUUCUAAAGGAGUCACAUGUUAAAGUGCACAACUGAAAUCUAGUAUGUAAUAAUCAUUUGUAUUUAUACUUUUUUGAGACAAAGGAAGUAGAUAAGCAACACCCCUGAGUUUCAGACAUCACAAUGCCAUAGUGUGCUUUAUGGGAAUAUAGAGAUGCAAGGAAAAGUGUCUGAAAAAGACACACACACACAUACACACACACACACACACACACAAGAUAGUCAAGAUGCUUUUAUAAUCAUUUUAAGAGGUCUUCAUCAUGAGGUUAAAUAAGUCAUUAAAAAAAGCAAAAUAGGCAGAAAAAGCUUUUUAGCAGAAAGUUUAUAAAAAUUGCUGGGGAGUAACAAACAGGAUAAAUAGGGAAAAUCUACAGCUGAUACAUGUUGAAGUAAUUGACUUAAAAGGUUUAUUUAGAGGAAGUAUUUUGCUAUAGCAGAGUGAGAAGUUUAGCAAUGCUUCUUCCCCCAAAAAACAAGUAUAAAAUUGGAAAAACUAUUUAAAAAAUGGUCUCAGGGCUCUGAAAAUCAACCAAAGAAAAAUAACAACUUGAGAAAUGGUUAUUGGUGAAAAAUGGCUAGAAAUGUGGAUAAGAAAAGUGUAGAUUCUAUAGAGAUCUACAGCCUUCUUGCCUAGGACUAUCCCUCUCCCUUAACUCCUCCUAAAACUUGGUUAGCGCGCUAGUUUUAGCAAGGCAGGACUGACUAUGAAAACCAGCAGUACUGCUAGAGGGGGUUGACUUGAUUUGAACUGGAGGUUCCAAACCUAUUCCUGGCAGCAUUAUCAAGAAAAGUAGGAUACAUGGUAGGAAAUAAAUGGGGAAUUUUUACAGCUCUGCUAACCUGAGUUUGCAGUACCAGUUAGGGCUAGUUAUGGGCUAGUCAAACUCUUAACAGGAAGUUUCUGGAAAUGAGAGUCAUAUAAGGGCUAGAUAAGCUCUCUGUGCCUUUCUGGCUGGAUGAGAAACUACGUUUACAGGAGAGCUAUGUAAAGUAAAAGCUAGGACAGACUUGAAAAGUGCCUGAACUUUGAAUGCGUCCUCUCUCCUGUCUGCCCCACCCAAUUCACACACAGAUCUAUUAGCAGAAGGUGGAAACCUUACAGGCUUAAGGUAUUUGAGCACAACCUCUUAUCAAUCACUGACAAACCAGCAGAUACAGGACUACACAUUGGAAGCUAGGCAAAAAUGAAUGAAUGAAUGGAGAAUUAUUUUAAACUGAGCAGAGACAUCAGUGGCAGCACAUCUCAGAGAAACAGAUUCUGUAAACUAGGUUGGAGUAAAUUAUCUAAAGGAACAACUAUCUUGUGGGAAAAUAUCAUAUCCCAGAGUUGUUACAAUAUUAAUCUAAAAUGUCCAGUUUUUUUUCUUUUUAAGACAAGUUUUGGCUGUAUCACCCAGGCUGGAGUGUAGUGGUGCAAUCUCAGCUCACUGCAACCUCCACCUCUUAGGCUCAAGCCAUCCUCCCACCUCAGCCUCCCAAGUAGCUGGGUCUACAGGCACGCACCAACACGCCUGGCUAAUUUUUGUAUUUUUUUGUAGAGGCAGGUUUUCACCAUGUUGCCCAGGCUGGUCUUGAACUUGUGAGCUCAAGUGAUCCAUCCACCUUGGCCUCCCAAAGUGCUGGGAUUAUAGGCAUGAGCCACCACGCACAACCAAAUGUCCAGUUUUCAAUGAAACAUCAUGACAUAGUCAAAGAAACAAGAAAAUGUGAUCCAUAGUCAGGAAAAAAACAGUCCAUGGAAACUGACUUUGAGUGCACCUAAAUAUAUUUAGCACACUAAGACUUCAAAACAGCUCUUGUAUUUUAAAAAUUAAAGUAUGAUGAUAAUGACACUGUAAUAGGAAUGCUCAGUAGAGAAACAGAAGCAAUAAUAAGGAACCAAUGGAACUUCUAGAAUUUAAAAGCCCUAUAGCUGAAAUAAAAAAUUAAAUGGGCACAUUUGGGGUGGCAAAAGAAAUAAUUGGUGAACUUCAAAUAGAUCAAUAGAAAUUAACCACUCUGAAGAACAUGGAAAAACAUAGAUUGAAGAAAAAUGAGCAGAGCCUCAGAGACCCAUGUGGCAAUAUCCAGCAUACCUACUAACACGUAAUGAGAGUCCCAGAAAGAGAAGAUAGAGAUACAUGCAGGAAAAAUACUUGAAGAAAUAAUGGCUAAACAUUCUGCAAAUUUAAUGAAAAACAUGAAUUAUACAUCUACAAAGCUCAACAAACUCUAAAUAGGAUAAACAUUAAAAUCCCCAUCUAUACACAUUAGAGUAAAAUUAACUGAAAACCAAACACAAAUAGAAAAUCUUAAAAGCAGCAAGAGAAAACCAGUUCAUCCUAAACUGGGGAAUAACAAGACAAUUAAUGCCUGAUUUCUUAUCUGAAACAAUGGAGGCCAGAAGGCAGUGGAAGGACACAUUUAAAGUGAUGAAAAAAAAAACUGUCAACCACAAAUUCUGUGUGCAAAACAAUUCUUCAAAAACAGGUGAAAUAAAGAAACUCCCAGAUGAAGACUGAGAUAAAUUAUUGCUGACAGAUACAGCUUCCAAGAAAUUCUACAGAAAAUGAAAGGAAAUGACACCAUAAGGCAAAUCCACAGGGAGAAAUGAAGAGCACCAGAAAUGGUAACUACGUGGGUCAAUAUAUAAGAUUGUAUAAACAUGUAUUUUCUAUUUUUUUUAAAACACAUCAGAUUUUGUGAAGCAAUAAUUGAAACACUAUUGUUGAGUUUAUAAUGUUAUAUAGAUAUUACAUAUGUGACAAUAAUAGCACAUAUAAGGAGAUGGGAUGAAAUUAAGCUAUAUAAGAGCAUCAGUGUUGGAUUUUGCUGAAAGUAAAUCAGUAUUAACAUGAAUUAUAUUGAUAAAUUAAGAGUACACCUUAAUCCCUACAGCAAACACAAAGAAAAUAAAGAAUCAAUAGAAUAAUAAAGUGAUACACCAAAAAUAAUUGUUUAACCUAAAGACAGCAGUAAAGGAGUAACAGAGGAACAACAACAAAAAGACAUAAACUAUAUUUAAAACAAACAGCAAAAUGGCAGACAUAAGUCCAAUUCUAUCAAUAAUCAUAUUAAAUAGUCCGUUAAAUCAACUAAACACUGUAAUGAAAAUACAAAGAUUGGCAGAUGGGAUACAAAAGAAAGAUUCAACUAUGUGCUGACCACGAAAGACAUACUUGAAAUGCAAAGAUACAACUAAAUUUAAAGUAAAAGAAGUGGAAAAGAUAUAUUAUACAAACAGUAAUCAUAAGAAAGCUGGAGUGGAUAUAUUAAUAUCAAACAAAGUAGACUUUCAGAAAAUAAAUAUUACUAGAGAUUCAGAGGGACAUUUCAUAAGCAUAAAAAAGUCAAUACAUCAGGAAGAUACGAUGUUAUUAGCACCAUGCUCUAACCAACUGAGCUGACCAGCCAUCACAUGAUCUUAAAUAUAUUUGUACCUAACAACAGGAUUCUGAAAUACAUCAAGUAAAAGCAAAGGGCAUUGAAAAGGCAAUGUAGAUGAUUUAAUAAUUAUAGUUCAAGAUUUUAAGACCCUUGAUACUGACAGAGAAAGUAGACAGAAAAUUAGUAAAGAGAAAAGGUUAAAAAAAACGAUUAUUCAACAUGGUGGUUUAACUGACAUGUAUAGAACACUUCCCCCUGCAGCAGCAAAAAAUAUUCUUUCAAGUGCAUUUGGAAGUUUCUUCAGGACAGAUCAUACGAUAGGCUUUAAAGCAAGUUUUCGGCCAGGUACGGUGGCUCAUGCCUGUAAUCCCAGCACCGUGGGAGACCGAGGCGGGUGAAUCACCUGGUGUCAGGAGUUUAAGACCAGCCUGGCCAACAUGGUGAAACCCCAUCUCUACUAGAAAUGCAAAUGUCAGCCAGGUCCACACCUGGACACCAGGUAUCAGUCACCUGUAAUCCCAGCUACUCAGGAGGCUGAGGCAGGAACAUCGCUUGAACCCAGGAGGUGGAGGUUGCAGUGAGCCGAGAUCACACCACUGCAUGCACUCCAUCCUGGAUGACAGAACGAAACUACGUCUCCAAAAAAAAAAAAAAAAAAAAAAAAAGCAAGUUUUCAUAAACAUAAAAAGAUUGAAGUCAUUCAAAGUAUGUCCUUCAAUCACAAUAGAAUUGAAUUCAAAAUCAAUGACAGAAUCUUGAAAAAUCCUUUACAAUAUCUGGAAAUUAGAUAACACAUUUCUAAAUAACUCAGGAUCAAAGAAGAAAUUGAAUGUAAAAUUAAAGAAUAUUUUGUACUGAAUGAAAGUGAAAAGACAACAUAUGAAAAUUUAUGGGAUGCAGCUAAACAGUGCUUAGACAAAAAGUUGCAGCUUUAAACAUGUAUAUUAAAAGUUGUAUUCACCGUUUAGGAAGGUAAUUGUUACAAAUUAGAAAAUGUUUUAUUGUAUGCACAAAUUUUAGACUUCGUUGGUUUAAUGUUGGAGCCUCCUCAUCAAAGGUUUUUAAGUCUUUAAAUACAUAGCAAUACAUUAUAUAUAUAUAUAUAUAUAUAUAUAUGCAUGUAUAUAAGUGCAUAUAAUAUACUGUUAAAUGCUUUAUUCAGAAAAGAUCUUGUAGAUAAUCACCACCAUGUAUUGAUAUUCUGAUAUAGUUUGAACGUAUGUCCCUACCAAAUCUCAUGUUGAAUUUCAAUCCCCAGUGUUAGAGGUAGGGCCCAGUGGGAGGCCUUUGGAUCAUAGGGGUGGAUCCCUCAUGAAUGGCUUGGGCCAUGCCCUUGGUGAUAAGUGAGCUCUUACUCUGAGUUCAUACAAGAUGUGGUCAUUUAAAAGUGUGUGUCACCUCACCCCGACUCUUUCUUUCUUGCUCCUUCUCUGCCAUGUGAAGUGCCUGCUCCCCCUUCACCUUCCACCAUGAUUGGAAGCUUCUUGAGGCCUCCCCAGAAGCAGAUGCUGGUGCUGUACUUCCUACACAGCCUACAGAACCAUGAGCCAAUUAAACAUCUUUUCUUAUAAAUUAUCCGGUCUCAGGUAUUUCUUUAUAGCAAUGCAAGAAUUGGCUAACACAGAUUCUAUCCACUUGUGGGGCACUGGGCUAAGCACUUUAUAUAUACAAUUUCAUUUAAUAUUCACAAUCCUAUUUUCAUGCGCGUCCGUGUGAAGAGACCACCAAACAGGCUUUGUGUGAGCAGUAAAGCUGUUUAUUUCACCUGGGUGCAGGUGGGCUGAGUCCGAAAAGAGAGUCAGUGAAGGGAGAUAAGGGUGGAGCCCUUUUAUAGGAUUUGGGUAGGUAAAGGAAAAUUACAGUCCAAGGGGGUUUGUUCUCUGGCGGGCAGGAGUGGGGGUCUCAAGGUGCUCAGUGGGGGUGAUUUUUGAGCCAGGAUGAGCUAGGAAAAGGACUUUCACAAGGUAAGGUCAUCACUUAAGGCAAGACCCGGGCAUUUACACUUCUUUUGUGGUGGAAUGUCAUCAGUUAAGGUGGGGCAGGGCAUAUUCACUUCUUUUGUGAUUCUUCAGUUACUUCAGGCCAUCUGGGCAUAUACGUGCAAGUCACAGGGGAUGCGAUGGCUUGGCUUGGGCUCAGAGGCCUGAUAUUCCUGACUUCUUAUAUUAAUAAGAAAAAUAAAACACAAUAGUGUUGAAGUGUUGGAGCGGCGGAAAUUUUUGGGGGGUGGUAUGGAGAGAGAAUGGGUGAUGUUUCUCAGGGCUGCUUCAAGCGGGAUUAGGGGAGGCGUGGGAACCUAGAGUGGGAGAGAUUAAGCUGAAGGGAGGUCUUGUGGUAAGGGGUGAGAUUGUGGGGAUGUUAGAAGAAACAUUUGUCAUAUAGAAUGACUGGUGAUGGCCUGGAUAUGGUUUUGGAUGAAUUGAGAAACUAAAUGGAAUAAGAGAAGGAGUAAAACAGAUAUAAAAGGUCUAAGAAUUGGGAUGACUCAGGAUAUCUGAUUAGAGAGUGCCUAAGGAGAUUCAGCAUAGUCCUGCCAGCAGAGAUUAUUUAUUUACUUCAAGAGUUAAGAGUGGCAGUUUGGGGAUAGCACCAGGAGAUAUCAGCUGUGAUGGCUUGGAAAAACAGUGUAAACCGGCAGUGUAAACAAGAACAGGGCAUGUAUGAGUAGUUGAGAACGGUGAACAGGAGUAUGACUAGACAGAAGAUAGUAGGGAUGACAAGUUUUUUGGGGCACAGUCUAAGUUGGUCUGGUGUCUGGAAUGAGGCUGGGGCCUAAUAAAAAGGAGCAUCUAUACAGGAGCUUAAAUGGGCUGUACCCUGUAGCAUUCUGAGGACAGGCCUGAAUUCUGAGAAGGGAAAGUGGUAAAAGUAUUGUCCAGUCCUUUUUAAGUUGGUGGCUGAGCUUGGUGAGGUGUGUUUUUAAAAGACCUUUAGUCCAUUCUACUUUUCUUGAAGACGGAGGACCGUAAGGGAUGUAAAGGUUUCACUGAAUACUAAGAGCCUGAAAACCUGCUUGGCUGAUUUGACUAAUAAAGGCUCAUCUGUUGUCAGACUGUAUUGAGGUGGGAAGGCUAAACUGAGGAAUUAUGUCUGACAGAAGGGAAGAAAUGACUGCGGUGGCCUUCCCAGACCCUGUAGGAAAGGCCUCUACCUAUCCAGUGAAAGUAUCUACCUAGACUAAGAGAUAUUUUAGUUAUCUGACUCAGGGCAUGUUGAGUAAAGCUAAUUUGCCAGUCCUGGGUGGGGCAAAUCCUCGAGCUUGAUGUGCAGGGAAGGGAGGGGGCCUGAAUAAUCCCUGAGGAGUAGUAGAAUAGCAGAUGGAACACUGAGAAGUUAUUUCCUUGAGGAUAGAUUUCCACGAUGGAAAGGAAAUGAGAGGUUCUAAGAGGCGGGCUAGUGGCUUGUACUAUAGCAUAACCUGCCUUUGCUGGUGUGUGGCGAUUAGGCCUGGUGGAACCGCCAUCAAUAAAUCAAGCGUGAUCAGCGUGAGGAACAGGAAAGAAGGAAAUUUGGGGAAAUGGGGUGAAUGUCAGGUGGAUCAGAGAGAUAGUCAUGGGGGUCAGGUGUGGUAUCAGGAAUAAUGUGGGAGGCCAGAUUGAAGUCUGGGCCAGGAACAACGGUAAUUGUGGGAGACUCAACAAAGAGUGAGUACAGCUGAAGGAGCCGGGAAGCAGAAAGUAUUUGCGUCAGGUAUGAGGAAGAAAAUAGAUUUUGGAAGUUAUGAGAACUGUAGAGAGUGAGUUGAGCAUAGUUUGUGAUUUUUGAGGGCCUCUAAAAGUAUUAAAGCAGCAGCAGCCGCUGCACGCAGACAUGAGGGCUAGGCUAAAACAGUAAGGUCAAGUUGUUCGGACAGAAAGGCUACAGGGUGUGGUCCUGGCUCUUGUGUAAGAAUUCUGACCGCGCUAACCAUGCCUAGGAAGGAAAGGAGUUGUUGUUUUGUAGAAGAUGCUUGGGUUUGAGAGAUCAGUCGAACACGAUUGGCAGGGAGAGCACGUGUGCUUUUAUGAGAAUUAUGCCGAGAUAGGUAACAGAUGAGGAAGAAAUUUGGGCUUGACUGAAGUAAUGGGGGCUGUCUGUGAAGCUCUGCGGCAGUACAGCCUAGGUAAUUUGCUGAGCUUGAUGGGUGUCAGGGUCAGUCCAAGUGAAAGCAAAGAGAGGCUGGGAUGAAGGGUGCAAAGCAAUAGUAAAGAAAGCAUGUUUGAGAUCCAGAACAGAAUAAUGGGUAGUAGAGGCAGGUAUUGAGGAUUGGAGAGUAUAUGGGUUUGGCACCAUGGGGUGGAUAGGCAAAACAAUUUGGUUGAUAAGGUGCAGAUCCUGAACUAACUUGUAAGGCUUGUCUGGUUUUAGGACAGGUAAAAUGGGGGAAUUGUAAGGAGAAUUUAUAGGCUUUAAAAGGCCAUGCUGUAGCAGGCGAGUGAUAACAAGCUUUAAUCUUUUUAAAGCGUGCUGCGGGAUGGGAUAUUGGCGUUGAGCGGGGU